ACGAAAAAGUAAAGUUCGGGUUUAUCUAUACCGAUUCCGACUUCGGGGACACGCUCAGGACAUCUGACAAUGGUGGCGUAGCCAAAAUCUAGAUCCAUUCGGAGACCUUUUCGGUAGCCGAUCUGUCUGACUGGAAAUUCAUAAACCUGGACAAUUGUCGAAUUUCCGCGAAUUGAAGAUACCUACACGAAGCCCACAACACGGGGGUUAGUACAUAAAUUUUUCAGAAUUUUCUAAGCUCAUUUAAUGCUCGGAAAAACACUGCGAAGUUUCGUGGGACCCACCGAAAAACGGUGUCGAAAAAAUUCAAAAUUUAUGUCGCCGCGAAGCUCUCGACGAGUGGAGCGCUCUGGUACUCUCGGUUUUCUCGUGGGGUUCACGGUUUGCGAGAAAUCUAGCCCAAAAGUCAAAAUAGGCUAAAACUUCUCGGACAAAAAUUGAACAAACCGCUCGAUGGAUUUUGGUGUUCUUAGUGUCUAUGGAAAGCUCUCGAGGUGUAGAUGGUGUUUGACACAAGGCCCGGCCCAAUCAAUGGCCGGAUCGGCUGGAUUUCGACCAGGAAGACGAAAAGUCGCACGCACGCAAGAGUGGCGUUCGCGCGCGUUUUCAGCAGCUUGGAGCGUCGACCGGCUAUGGGGAGGUGGUGGGACGGCGCGCCGGAGAAGUGGGGUGGCUGGGGAGGCGGCGGCGCGGCCUGGGGGUGAGGGAGGAGAGAGAAAAGGGAGGGAGAGGAGAAGAGGAAACGCGCGCGGGAAGAAAAAGAAGAAGAAGGAGGUGGCCUGAUUCGGUCGGUUUGAUCCGGUCUGGUUCGAUUCAGCCGGUUCGAUUCAGGGUAUCCGAAAUUGAAUUUUUACUCUGCCUUGAGAUCGAAAACAAGGCCUAAAAAUUCUAAAAAAGUUUCAGAAAACUCAGAAAAAUUCGUAGAAUUUAAAUAUAUUUUUAGUUUGUCACGUGGUAUUUAAAUAAAUUUUUAAAAAUCAUCAAAGUUUUAUAUUUUCGGAAAAUCGAACCUGAUUUUUAAAAUCCGAAAAAUCUC
This 1036-nucleotide unclassified non-coding RNA is filed under the name Hevea brasiliensis (rubber tree). Lineage: Eukaryota; Viridiplantae; Streptophyta; Magnoliopsida; Malpighiales; Euphorbiaceae. The record is from RNAcentral.